AAUGAACGCUGGCGGCAUGCCUAACACAUGCAAGUCGAACGAGACCUUCGGGACUAGUGGCGCACGGGUGCGUAACGCGUGGGAACCUGCCCUUAGGUUCGGAAUAACUCCCCGAAAGGGGUGCUAAUACCGGAUAAUGUCUUCGGACCAAAGAUUUAUCGCCUUUGGAUGGGCCCGCGUUGGAUUAGCUAGUUGGUAGGGUAAAAGCUUACCAAGGCGACGAUCCAUAGCUGGGCUGAGAGGAUGAUCAGCCACACUGGGACUGAGACACGGCCCAGACUCCUACGGGAGGCAGCAGUGGGGAAUAUUGGACAAUGGGCGAAAGCCUGAUCCAGCAAUGCCGCGUGAGUGAUGAAGGCCUUAGGGUUGUAAAGCUCUUUUACCCGGGAUGAUAAUGACAGUACCGGGAGAAUAAGCUCCGGCUAACUCCGUG
Molecule: ribosomal RNA, 433 nt
Filed under: uncultured bacterium
Lineage: Bacteria
Description: partial 16S ribosomal RNA
Rfam family: Bacterial small subunit ribosomal RNA
Source: RNAcentral